This 64-nucleotide transfer RNA is filed under the name Bostrichoidea sp. 9 KM-2017. Its description in RNAcentral is "tRNA-Asp". Lineage: Eukaryota; Metazoa; Arthropoda; Insecta; Coleoptera. The record is from RNAcentral.
AAAAAUUUAGUUAACAUAUAACACUAGUUUGUCAAACUAAAAUAAUUCCUAAGAAUAAUUUUUA